RNAcentral lists this small RNA (1494 nucleotides) under Rattus norvegicus (Norway rat). RNAcentral describes it as "uncharacterized LOC102549406". The record is from RNAcentral. Lineage: Eukaryota; Metazoa; Chordata; Mammalia; Rodentia; Muridae.
GGAACGGUAGUAAAAAAAAAAAGGAAUAAAAUAGGUAGAAGAAGAAAUAAAAGGAAGUAAAGAUUGCCCUAUCAUGUAAACAAAGUAAUCAGAUCAAUGAACUAAGAGAUAAAAACAUAAUUUUAAAAAUAUGCUAAACUAAGCAUGUUUGUAAAAUACAGGAGAGAGAGAGAGAGAGAGAGAGAGAGAGAGAGAGAGAGAGAGAGAGAGAGAGAGAGAGAGGAGAUGAAGAAGCACACAGGGUCUAACGGGAGAAAUAAAGAUUAAAUGCUGGGACAGAGUUUUCUGCAUCUCCUAAUACUGGAGGCUGACAGCCAAUGUACUGGGGAAGAGGGGUAUCACGUGACCUGCCUGACUCCCGCCUCUUCUAUGGUUUAGCCUGGUGUCCAGCGUAUUGGACAAGUAUCUGGUGACACCCUGAGUUGUCCUCUCGCAGAUAUCUUCCUGUAUUUGGGUAACAAGUUCCUCAUCUUUGCCGUCUGUGGGCAGGGCAGCUUCUGUCUUCCUCCCAGGGUUGUUCCGCACAGAGUGGGUGGCAUAGCUGGGCCCGUUCCCGUGCACACGCCUUGGGGAAUAUCGAGUAGAAAUCACAACACAACGCUCUGUUGCAGGCAGAGGAGCUAUAUUUGUACUGAGGAGAUGUGCUAACCUCCGCGCUGGAGGGAUGAGGCAGUGGAUGUCAAGGACUCAGCCAACACUUCUUCUAACAGCAGUGAGCCGCAGUGUUUUCUUAUUCCUGUUUGCACUGAACAGCCCGGCCUCCUGCAUUUUCCUACCAGGGAUUAUUGCCAGGCAGAGGAGAUCAUCAAAAGACAUGGCCAGUUUCCACCACAGAGCCAGGGCAAGCCAGAGACACCAGAAAGGAGGUGAAGCACAGGCCUGAACUAGGUCUGAUGGAAUGCUUACCUCAGAAGUAACCACCCAGGGUUCCUUUAUCCAACUGGUGCAGCUGGCUGAUUCAGUCUUCUCCCUCAAGAAACCGACCUACUGAAGAUAGCAGGGAAGCAUUGCAAGGAAAUUAUCAGGAGUAUGUGGGGUACACUCGGCAUAGAAUGUUCGUGGAAGUCAGAGGAACACUUGGGGAGUCAAUGCCCUCCUUCUACCACAUGACUACCAGGGACAGAAUUCCAGCCCUCUGGCUUGGUGGUGAGGCCUUCAUCUGCUGAAUCAUCUCCCCAGGGCCCUGAUACAAUGAGCUUUGUAGAUACAAUAUUUUAAAAUUCGAAUUUGUUAGAAAUUAGUAAAUAAAGCGUGCUAAGAAGAAUGUUGGCCUGUCCGAGAAGCUCGUGCCUCAGUCCCCAGAGCUUGUGACUAUGCUAAGUCUCACAGCAAAGGGACGAUGUUUCAGAUGGAAUUGGUGUUCCUAGCUGGGUUUUUAUGCUGGUGCCAGUCCAAUCCCGAAGAUCCUGCUAUAUUAGAAUGUGACGUGCCCCUCUUUUGAUAGAUUAGUGAUGACUAGCACUUGGCCUGCAGCUGGUCACGCUGUUUUGGAAA